GCGCGGUGGCGCAGGUGCGGUGCGGUGGUCUUCAGCGCCACCGGGUAGCCGAGGCGGGCGGCCGCUGCGACGGCCGCCUCGGG
This 83-nucleotide transfer RNA is filed under the name Streptomyces sp. CA-256286. RNAcentral's name for it is "tRNA-Sec". The record is from RNAcentral. Lineage: Bacteria; Bacillati; Actinomycetota; Actinomycetes; Kitasatosporales; Streptomycetaceae.